Long non-coding RNA from Xenia sp. Carnegie-2017, 592 nucleotides. RefSeq lists it as uncharacterized. Lineage: Eukaryota; Metazoa; Cnidaria; Anthozoa; Malacalcyonacea; Xeniidae. The transcript is spliced from 6 exons. The record is from RefSeq and is a predicted model, not a curated record.
UGACAAGUGACCAAAGAUCUACUUUUGAUACAUUCACAGGACCAAAUUCCUGCACAGUAUCCCCAAGACACUGUCUUUCUAUAAAGACAUUUAUUCGUUGCCUUGGAGUCAGAAACAAUGAAUUUUCGUUUUGCAAUGAAUCACUGACCUUUCUUGAUGUUCCAAGUUGUUGAUUGGCGGUACUUCAGUGCUUUCUUGUGAUUCCUGGAUUUCCUCUGUUUCACUCUCAUACAACAAUUCUUGCUCAACUGGCUCUUCAAGUGCAUUCUGGAACGUAAAUUAUCCUACGUCUCCUUUUAAACCGUCUCGUCCGGCUGCUCCAGGUACACCAGGAACUCCUCGAGCCCCAGGAAUUCCACAGCUUGCUGAACAUUGAGCCUUUAAAACGCUUCACAACCAGCCAUAUCUUAAAGAUUUGUCAUUGCGGAAGGCAAAAGGAGGUAGCUCAAAUCGGAAAAGUCACCUAAAAAAGCUGUAAAUCAGGGAGAAGUGCGAGCCUAUGACUGUCACCAAAGAAGAGAAGAAAAGUAUAAGUGAAUUGAAGAAGCUAGAAAGUUGGAGCAAAGAGAACAAGAAGAAAAACGAGAAAGAA